UGAGUUGAGUUGACCUAUGAAUU
Molecule: non-coding RNA, 23 nt
Filed under: Arabidopsis thaliana (thale cress)
Lineage: Eukaryota; Viridiplantae; Streptophyta; Magnoliopsida; Brassicales; Brassicaceae
Source: RNAcentral